GUGACAAAAUAGCAAUAUUUUCAAGAAACAACUUUUUAAAUUCUAAUUUAAUAGAAGUCAAGUUAUGGUCUGAGAGAUAACUUAAAAAUGGUAAGUUAUUUAGGAACAAGAUAAAAGGCAAAACACCAAACUUCAUACAAACUUAAAUGUUUGACAUUUAAAAAUUAAAGAGAUUUUUUUUAACGUGUAUUUGAGACAAAUAAGCCAACCUUGGUACAUAACCGCUGAAAACUAAAAAACCGUACCCUAAACCAACACAGGUGGAUAGGUCGAGUAGACUAAGGUGUAUGAGAUAAUUAUGUUGAAGGAACUCGGCAAAAUGACUCUGUAACUUCGGGAGAAAGAGUACCUUUUUAUUUA
RNAcentral lists this ribosomal RNA (360 nucleotides) under Aphanomyces astaci. RNAcentral's name for it is "partial large subunit ribosomal RNA". Lineage: Eukaryota; Oomycota; Saprolegniomycetes; Saprolegniales; Verrucalvaceae. The record is from RNAcentral.